GGUUGUGGCUCAAUGGUAGAGCACUUGCCUAGCAUGCAUGAGGCAUUGGGUUCGAUCCCUGGCACCA
Molecule: transfer RNA, 67 nt
Filed under: Marmota monax (woodchuck)
Lineage: Eukaryota; Metazoa; Chordata; Mammalia; Rodentia; Sciuridae
Description: tRNA.Ala
Rfam family: tRNA
About the family: Transfer RNA (tRNA) molecules are approximately 80 nucleotides in length. Their secondary structure includes four short double-helical elements and three loops (D, anti-codon, and T loops). Further hydrogen bonds mediate the characteristic L-shaped molecular structure. tRNAs have two regions of fundamental functional importance: the anti-codon, which is responsible for specific mRNA codon recognition, and the 3' end, to which the tRNAs corresponding amino acid is attached (by aminoacyl-tRNA synthetases). tRNAs cope with the degeneracy of the genetic code in two manners: having more than one tRNA (with a specific anti-codon) for a particular amino acid; and 'wobble' base-pairing, i.e. permitting non-standard base-pairing at the 3rd anti-codon position.
Source: RNAcentral